Homo sapiens (human) is the source of this 1071-nucleotide long non-coding RNA. Ensembl annotates it as B3GALT5 antisense RNA 1. Its record names the gene B3GALT5-AS1. NCBI's taxonomy places the organism in Eukaryota, Metazoa, Chordata, Mammalia, Primates, Hominidae. The record is from Ensembl.
GCAAGGCGUGGGGCGCUAUGGGACUGCGCAGUGACGACCCAGUGAAGUAGAUGCCUUGACGAUUCCCAUUUCACGGAUGAGACGACUCCGGCACAGAGAAGUCAGAGGGCCUGUCCUGGGUCACACAGCCACAGGCGGCCCCCAGAACGGGACUUCAGGGUGCACCACUGCACCCCAGCAGAGACCUCCGCCUGGCACACAGGGAAUGCUGGAGCAAUACUUAAAUAGGGGAGGUCAGAAAUCUCACGGGCUCUGCUGGCUUCUGUGCUUCGUCUCUCAAGGCCAAAAUCAAGAUGUCAUCAGUGCUGAGCUCUGGUGCAGGAUCCACGUCCAGGCUCACUGGGGCUGCUGGCAGAAUUCAGCUGUGUGGGGUUGUAGGAAUGAAGUCCUUGUUUCCUUGCUGGCUGUUGGCCAGGGGCUGCCCUCAGCUUCUGGAGGCCGCCUGCCCUCCCUGGUUCAUGGCCCAUCUCAUCCUGACAGCCAGCACCCGCGGGAAGUCCCUCUUGCACUGUGACUCUCUCCCGCCUCUUCCAUUCUCUAUGGCUUGUCUGCCUCCCUCUUUCAUCUUUAAGAGUGCAUGUGAGUAUAUUGGACCUACCUGAAUCAGCCAGGCUAACCUCCCCAUUUUAAGGUCUGCAGCCUUAAUUCUACCUGCAAAGUCCCUUUUGCCAUGUAAUGUGCCAUAUUCACAGGUGUCAGGAAUCAGAGGGCAGGUAUAUUGGGGGACCAUUAUUCUGCCAACUACACAGGGCCUUAUAUGGUCUGGCUCUGUGUCCCCAUUCAAAUCUCAUCUUGAAUUGUAAUCCGAAUUGUAACCCCCACGUGUUGGGGGGAGGGACCUUGUGGGAGGUAAUUAAAUCAUGGGGGCGGUUACCCUCAUGCUGUUCUUGUGAUAGUGAGUGAGUUCUCACGAGAUCUGAAGGUUUUGCAAGGAGCUUUUCCCCCUUUUGCUCAGGACUCUCCUUCCUGCAGCCAAGUGAAGGACAAGUUUGCUUCCCCUUCCACAAUGAUUGUAAGUUUCUUGAGGCCUCUCCAGAACUAUGAGUCAAUUAAACCUCUUUCCUUUAUAAA